Molecule: ribosomal RNA, 416 nt
Filed under: Thalassobius sp. ini14
Lineage: Bacteria; Pseudomonadati; Pseudomonadota; Alphaproteobacteria; Rhodobacterales; Roseobacteraceae
Description: bacterial SSU rRNA
Rfam family: Bacterial small subunit ribosomal RNA
Source: RNAcentral
GGCCUACCAAGUCUACGAUCUAUAGCUGGUUUGAGAGGAUGAUCAGCAACACUGGGACUGAGACACGGCCCAGACUCCUACGGGAGGCAGCAGUGGGGAAUCUUAGACAAUGGGCGCAAGCCUGAUCUAGCCAUGCCGCGUGAGUGAUGAAGGCCUUAGGGUCGUAAAGCUCUUUCGCCAGAGAUGAUAAUGACAGUAUCUGGUAAAGAAACCCCGGCUAACUCCGUGCCAGCAGCCGCGGUAAUACGGAGGGGGUUAGCGUUGUUCGGAAUUACUGGGCGUAAAGCGCACGUAGGCGGAUCAGUCAGUUAGAGGUGAAAUCCCAGGGGCUCAACCCUGGGAACUGCCUUUAAUACUGCUGGUCUUGAGUUCGAGAGAGGUGAGUGGAAUUCCGAGUGUAGAGGUGAAAUUCGUAG